UAUCACUGUUCCCUCUCAGCUGCGCCCGUGCGCAAUUGCGCACUGCUGACACGGUCUCCGCGCACAGAAAAUCUGCGCUGCGCACAAAAAGAAAAUCAAACCUAAAUUGUAAAUAAAAUAAACACUAACAAUUCAUUCUGUGCUAUUUUUCAGUGUGAGUCAGUGAGUGACCGGUGACUGGCUGCUGCAGCCAAUGAUGCGAUUCACAUACGUAUUUACCAUAGACUGUAUAUAAUGGUAUUUACGCAGCUAAUCAACGUCAGGCGUCCUUAUGUGCAGCCACCGCUGUUCUCAUAGAUAUGAAUGAGUAGAUAGGACACGCCCCUUUGAGCUGUGUGCUACAGCGAGGCUAAGCUAGUGGGGGCAAAGUUUCAGUGCAUUCCGUUGAUGUAGACAGCGUGAAAACGGAAACAACAAAUAUGCCAGCUCACUGUGCUGCAUACAAUUACACACUACGUCGUACGAUUGAGACAAGGAAACUUGGAAUGACUUUUCAUAGGUUUCCCAGAGACUAUGGGUUGAGGAGGAAUUGGAAGUUUGUCGGCUUAGACCUGGUGUCAUUCCAUCAGUGUUAAACUUCCCAGCUCAUCUUGGAAGAGUACGUGCCAGAAAGACCACGAUCAAGCAGCCUUGAGAUCUUAGGCAGCGUCUCCCUCAGGUCCCUCUCUAUCUCCCUACACAUCCACCAACCACUGGAACACAUCUCCAAAGUUCUGCCGGGCCAGCUCAGCUUCCCCUCAGAAGAAGUGCUGCCACCUGCCAGAUGAAGGAGCCUUUUGAGAGGCAGCUGGCAUCGUGAUUGGACUGUACUUUGGUCUGUUCCAAUCCAGCUUCAGCUCCAGAGACGGCAGGCAGGACGAGUCAACGGAGGCCGGGUGGACGAAGACAUGAAGCUGAGUACAAUCCAGAAAACAACAGAGGAGGAGUGCAGGGCCAGAACAAACAGAUUAGCAUCGUAUGUCUCUGAGAAAACAUCAUAGUAUAGCCUUUGGUAAGAAAAAACACCAUCAUAUACAUCGUAUAUUGUACAAAUAACAAGUCAAAGCAAAGAGACAUACAUUGUAGAAUUGGAGUAAUUGUGGGCUGACUGAUUUACUGAUUAUCAGUAUUUUCUACUGAUUUACGGUAAUAAAUAAAUUUAAAAAUGGCGCUACUUUGGCUCUGAACCUUUAUCUACCUGUGGUCGCUCUGUCUUCUGGAGUGAUUUGAUUGGUUAUACGUCAUGAAUAAAACUCCUUUAACUUAACAUCUGUUAAGGUUGAUAAACGUUGACCUCCGUUCAUUUCUCUGGAGCCGACUCCAUGGAUUUUAUGGAUGGUGGUUAAAGACCUGCUCUUCGAGUGGUCUUCCAUCUAGUCGCUAUAAAAAGUCAGUCCAUCCUGACUGACUUCAACACCUCUUCAUGACAGCUUGUUCUGCCUCGGACCUGGUGGAAACUCCAGAAACUCGGGAAAACCCAUGGAGACUCGAAGAACUCGUGGAGACUCGAAGAACUCGUCGGCGGGGGAAGGUGUGGUGGGUGGUGGUGGAGUAGAGGGGGGAGGCCGCCACCCACCUCCCCGCCUACUCUCUGCCCUGACUCCACCCAGACUCCGCCUUGGGUCCACCCAUGUGGUCACUUUAUUAACUACGAUGCCAAAGGGACGACGAAAUUACUUCUUUUCGUCCGAUCUGUAGCUCAGUGAGUUAAGGAUUUGCCUGUGGAGCUGCAGGUCGCUGGUUCAAGACCAGACACUUCUUAAAUUUUAUCAAAAGCCUGACAAAGACAAACAAAGAAAAAUGCCAGUGGUGGGUCUUGAACCUACUACCUUCCACUUGGUAGUCUCUCUUCUUACCCCCUGAGCUACUUGCUCAGGUACUAAUGCUUCUUUUUUUUGCACAUUUAUCAUAAAUUUUUUUUUGCCAUUUUCGAGUUUUUUUUUUUUAACUUGAGUCUCGACUCGACCGUUUUUCUCAGGAGGUUGGACUUCAGCCUUUGUGCUGGAGGGUUGAACCCUCAGUUCCAAGACUUUCAAAGCCUCCAGACCUCCCGAGUCCUCAGGACCUGAGCUUUCACACAGUCUGAGGGCUGAAAUUUUCUAAGUCCCACAGUAGUUCUCUGUUAGAUUUAACUUCCAGACAGUCCAAGGACUGAUAUCUUCUAAGUUCCUGAGUACUUCUCUUAGUUUGAACCUUCAGACAGUCUGAGGACUGAAAUCUUAAAAGUUCUUGAGUAGUUCUCUGUUAGUUUGAACUUUCAGACAGUCUGAGGACUGAAAUUUUAAAAGUUUCUCAGUACUUCUCUGUUAGUUUGAACUUUCUGGUUAACAGAAGCCUUAAAACUUGUGACCAUGAGUCUUGAUUUCACAUUUAGACCAUCCAUCUGAGUUCUUCUCAGACCUUCACCUGUGGGUUUUUUAGAAAUCCUCAACAAACUUUGAUUCUCUUCACUGAACAGUAAAGUUUGUGGAGAUCAGAAGGUAACAUUAGUUUGAUCGAUGCCUUCAACUACUAGUAGACUUUAUCUGGAAAUCAGUUUUCUGAAAUGAGUUCUUAGUAAAUCUGUCCACAAUCAAACCAAAAACAUAGAAAGAGGAAAUGUUUGAAGAAACAACUUGAUGUUUUCAUUUCAGACUAGAAAACACUUUAAGAUCUUUAUCUGUUUUUGCUCUUUUUGAUCGUUUUAUUGUCUCUUCUGUUUAAUUUGAUCUUCUAAAGUCUAACUGGUGUCUUUUGAAAUGUUUUGUCUUUAGUUUGAUUCUUCUUAAACGUUUAGUUUUGCUCUUUUCUCACCUUUUAUUCUUUUCUAAUGUCUGAUUUGAUUUCCAAAUAUUUUGUCUUUUUAAUGUUUAUUUGUUUUUUCAAAUGUUUUAUUGGCUUGUUUGAGUUUCUUUUUCUUUCCCAAUAUUUAAUGUUUCGAUUAAAUCUUUAAGGUUUUUCUUUUUAAAUGUUUUACCACCUUUUAAUGUCUAAUUUUUUUUUUAAAUGCGUCAUUGUAUUUUCUGUGUGAAUCCUAUUUGAAGUUUUAUUGUCUUUAAGAUGUAAUUUUCUAAUUAAAGCUGCAAGCAGCGUUGGACGGGUCCUCGCAUCCUUGCUGGUCGGCGAAUCCGCGCACGUCCACCAGGCGGCGCUGCGACCGAGAGUGCAUGUUGGCCUACGGAUGCGAUGAGGGCCGGACUCUGAUCACACGUGUAAAAUUUCAGGCAGAUUGGAGCACGUUCAGGCUACUUAUAGAGCUUUUCCUGUCCAUCCACCAGGUGGCGCUGCGACCGAGAGUGUAUAUUGGCCUGUGGAUGUGAUCAGGGUCAGACUCUGAUCACACGUAAAAUUUCAGGCAGAUCGGACCAUGUCCAGGCUAGUUAUAGAGCAUUUCCUUCCAUCCACCAGGUGGCGCUGCGACCCAGAGUUUAUGUCGGCCUAUGGAUGUGAUCAGGACUGGACUCUGAUCACACCUGUAAAGUCUGAGGCAGAUCGGAGCAUGUUUAGGGCAGUUACACAGCAGUUGAUGUUUCAUGGCGAAGCAUCAAAAUUCACGAGGCCGCCAUGGCCACGCCCUCAGACUUAAGUGUCUCAUGUGGCCCUGCAGCUUCUCCUCCUCCACCUCCUCCUGAAGCCUUCAUCUUCUUCAUCAUCAGCUGCUCAGUGACUCUGUUGGACGUCUCACCGUGUGGCAGCAGCUCAGGAGUUUGCAGUCAACCAAGGCCGACUCAGAAUCACUCCCACCGGGAAGAUCUGUGAAGGAAGGUCCACCCGGCUGGUCCAGAAGCUCCGGUCCAGCAGAGCAGCGUCAGGAUGGAGACGUAACCGGGUGAGUUAACAAGAGAGGCGACACAUUCACAUAGAAAAUCCAACAAUUCCUUCUGUUUUUACAGUUUGUGACUCUGGUAAAUGGUGUCAUUUUUCAAAGCUGGUGGGUUUUGGGCUUCACAGAUUGAACCUAAAUGCUUUUCUUAAACAAACUGCUGAGCUGCUGCACAGUGAAAUGUUUGAGUGGAGCUCAGGAUGAAAGCAUCAGAGCUGUUUUACAUGUUUUUAUGUUCAGCUAAUAUCAUUUCCUCUGGACAAUGUUUGUGGUGUUAGAAGUG
This is a long non-coding RNA of Amphiprion ocellaris (clown anemonefish), 4064 nucleotides long. RefSeq lists it as uncharacterized. The transcript has 5 exons. The record is from RefSeq and is a predicted model, not a curated record. Lineage: Eukaryota; Metazoa; Chordata; Actinopteri; Pomacentridae.